AUGACGUAUCCUGAAACAGAUGUCAGGCUGAGGACUGACUCGAGUUAUUAUGAUAUGAUUGAUGAGGAACAUCACUUGAAACAGACACUCAGUCCUUUAACAGGGAUUGUAAAGAUGGUUUCUUCAUUCCCAAUAGAUUAUAUGCAUCUCUGUUGUCUUGGGUUGAUGAGAAAACUGUUGAAUAUGUGGUCAAAGGGCAAGCUAGCCACUAGGCUUCCUUCACAAACUGUUAACAGUAUAUCAAGCAAACUGCUGGUGUUACAUUCCCACACCCCUGUUGAAUUCAAUCGUAAGCCAAGAGGUUUGAAUGAGCUUGAUCGUUGGAAAGCUACUGAGCUCCGAUCCUUUAUGUUAUACUGGGGUCCUGUAGUUCUGAAGGGUUGCCUUCCCAGUGAGUUUUAUGACAAUUUUAUGUUAUUUUCAGUGGCAAUGUAUUUGUAUUUGUCACCGGGACUUUCUGACCAAAUGGUUGAAUUUGCACAUAGAUUGAUGAUUUCCUUUGUGAAACACUUUGGACAGCUGUAUGGUAGGGAUGAGAUUGUGUUCACUGUUCAUCAGCAUAUACAUUUAGUUGAUGAAUACAAACAAUUUGGACCUUUAGAUAAUGUUUCGGGAUUCCCUUUUGAGAAUUAUCUUGGCCAAAUUAAGCAUCUUUUACGCAAGCCACACAAACCUCUACAGCAGGUUGUCAAAAGGUUGUCAGAAAUGCCACAUGUUGAGCGUCCAUUAGCAACAGAUGAACCAGUCUUACAGAACAUCCAUACUGAUGGACCACUUCCUCGACAUUUCAAUGUUGCUCUACAGUACAGAAAGGUCUCCAGUAGUCGCUUUACCUUGUCUACAAAGCAGGGGGAUAAUUGUAUUGAGGUGGGAGAUACAAUUGCAGUAGUGCAGAAUAUAGUCCAAGAAGAAGAUGAGGUCUAUGUGAUAUACAGAAAGUUCAGACACCAAGAAUCAUAUUACACUUAUCCCUGUGAGUCCUCAUGCAUAGGUACAUAUAAGGUUCGAGAGUUGUGUGAUGAUAUCGGCGUUGGUAAACUUGGCUGUAUUAAACGUAAAUGUGUUCUGUAUCCAGAGUCAGAGGGAAAUAGCCUCAUAGCUAUUCCAAUAGCUCAUAUGCAGUAG
This 1125-nucleotide long non-coding RNA is filed under the name Gadus morhua (Atlantic cod). RNAcentral's name for it is "lncRNA (ENSGMOG00000030840.1)". Lineage: Eukaryota; Metazoa; Chordata; Actinopteri; Gadiformes; Gadidae. The record is from RNAcentral.